Molecule: unclassified non-coding RNA, 247 nt
Filed under: Hevea brasiliensis (rubber tree)
Lineage: Eukaryota; Viridiplantae; Streptophyta; Magnoliopsida; Malpighiales; Euphorbiaceae
Source: RNAcentral
AUGGAUUUUGGAUGAUGUGUGGACAAUUUUUACCCUAGGGAAGCAACCCAAAGCAGAGCAUUGUUUGAUUAUCGAGAAAGUUCCAGUGAUGAUAGCUUGACUUCCCACUACUGCAGCAAGUAUGGCUAUGACAAAAACUGGCCAUCUUAAUUUAUCUGGUACAGAUACAUAAAAUCCAAUUCGGUAAUCACCAUCAACAACAUGAUGCUUAGAUAGAUAGGCAGCUUGCCCCAUAUAUGCAAGAACC